UUUUUUUUUUUUUUUUUGCCAUACCACAGCAUAUGGAGGUUCCCAGGCUAGGGGUCCAGUCGGAGCCACAGCUGCCAGCCUACACCACAGCCACAGUAACGUGAGAUCCAAGCUGCUUCUGCAACCUACACCACAGCUCAUGGCAACGCCGGAUCCUUAACCCACUGAGUGAGGUUCCUAGUUGGAUUCGUUUCUGCUGCACCAUGAUGGGAACUCUGACAGCUUGUGAAGUUUCUAACAGAAACUAGAGGAGCCCACCUGUCUUUUAUUUUAUCAGUAAAUAAACCUAUUAAAAGGGCCCUUCCACCUCAAGCCCAUGGAAUGAGAAAGGAACACUGAAUAAUUUAAAAUUGAAAUUAUUUUAAAGGAAUUUAACCUUCUUUGGCGUCUUUUUUUUUCUUUUGUCUUUUGUUGUUGUUGUUGUUGUUGCUAUUUCUUGGGCCGCUCCCACGGCAUAUGGAGGUUCCCAGGCGAGGGGUCCAAUCGGAGCUGUAGCCACCGGCCUACACCAGAGCCACAGCAAUGCAGGAUCCGAGCCGUGUCUGCAACCUACACCACAGCUCACGGCAACGCCGGAUCGUUAACCCACUGAGCAAGGGCAGGGACCGAACCCGCAACCUCAUGGUUCCUAGUCGGAUUCGUUAACCACUGCGCCACGAUGGGAACUCCGGCGUCUUUGAAUUCAUUAAAAAGUAAGGACAAGGCUUCAAGGACCAUAGGGACAUCACUGAUAUUCAACUUUGAAAAGUUCGUCUGAUGCUAAUGAGAACAGACCCUGUACUGCCUCAUUCUAGGAAUCUCAGAGAUUUUAUCAAAAUGUAUUUAGUGCUAGUUGUUUAACCCCAUCCUAGAUAUCUUAUUAACAUAGAUUUUGGAAGAGAGAGACAUUUUAUUCUUCUCAGGAACUGAUUUUUUGGGGGCCUGAAUACAUCAGUGUGGAUAAAGCCUAUAGCAUCACCCCAAGAAGAAAUGCAUCAAGCAGGUACAUGGGUCUGCAGAGGCGAUGUGCCCGAGUUGUUGUCGCCGUGAAACUAUUUGAAACAACCUAUGAAGCUUUAGAUAGUGUUUAGAAGACAAUGUUCGAAAUCGUCCUGGCUGUACUGUUUUGGCUUCUGCUGUUGUUUUGUUCCUCUAGGAGGGGCUGAAGUGCAAGGGCGUAUGGAGAGGUGUCCAUGGGCUCAGGGAUUUAGAGACGAUACCGAUGAGACAGUGAGAGAAGAGGAGCAGAGAGGGACAAGGGUUCUGGGGGCCUGGUAGGGUUGCUGGAAUUCAGCCUCUGCCUACAGGUGCUAAAUUGAAAUGCAGAGGCAGCGUUUUGGGUAAGGGAGAAAAAAAUAGCUUUAUUUCUUUUCCAGGCAAAGGAGGGUCACAGCGGGUCGAUGCCCUAAAGACUGUGUCCCCCUUUAGAAAGGAAUGCUAGGAGUUUUAUAGUAAAAAGGAGAAAAACAGGUUUUCAGAUAGGAAUCAGGAUUGGGACAAACAUGCCUUCUUCUUUCUUUGGGGGACUCUUAGUCAUCAAAGCGGGAGUCAGGAGAUCUCGGCCUGGUCAUGAUGGUGGUUGUCUGGGUUACGGCCUCGAAUAACAGUCCUUGUGAAAAGGGCCUAUGGAUCAGAGGGGAGCAAAAACUAGGAGAGUGCCUGAAAACAUCAUGCGCUCAUCAUCUUUAACCACAGCAACUGUGCUCAGGUACCUAACCUUUAGCUUAUGAGUGAUUGUGUUUUGGGUGCAGUUGAGCCAGGGAGAAGGACACAAAGGACUCUACACUGUCCCUCCCUGGCCUCUGCAUCCCCUCCCUUCCCUGAUCAGCAACUGUCAGAACCUGUCCCUGGGAACUCAGGGAAGGUCAUGGGGGCUGAAUGAGGCCCAUUUCUUAAGAACAAGAAAUGGGGACACAGACGAGCUCUUGCUCCCAGGAGCCCGCAGGGCUGGGCUCAGUUUCAGCAGGGCUGGAAGAGGAAGCAAGGAGGUUGGCACAUAGGUGGCUCCAUCAUUCAGAGGUGGUCCUGGGGUGUCAGUCCCCAUGGGAUCCACAGCCCCACCCCCCCGCCCCACGACAAAGACUACCUGGGUGGACCUUCCAGCACCUUCUCUGGCUGACUCUUGGUCCCCAUCUGCCAGUCCGUCGGUGGCUCAGGGCUGAGGAACAGGGAAGGGCUCCGUGACCAUGCGCCCGGGGCAACAGUAGACACGUCAACACUUUCUUCCAAGAAUACGCUACUUGGAAUUAAAAAAAAAAAAUCAAUAUUUUUUUUUCUUUAAAGCACAAAAGGAAUCAAUCAGUGUUGGUUUUCUUUAGCCCCUGGUGUAGUAUAAUUUUGUAUCACUGCCUGCGUUUGUCAGAAUAAAAAGAAUACUAACCCACCAGCAUGACAGGGGGUGCCUGUGGGCACCUGCCAGGUGCCGUGAUAGCGUGAAGACAAACACAGCAUCAGGGGCUGGUGCAGGGGAGAUGGCUGAGGACAGAGGGGUCUGGACGAUGCCACUGUGUGGGGUCUUUGUGAGCCAACCUUAUGCCAACACUGGAAGCCCCAGGUGCAAAGAGAGCCGAGGCCACGGAGCAUUGGUCGGUGGGGAUGGCAGGGCUGCCAAGGGGAGACAAGGGGCCCUCCCAGGCUUCCCCAGGGGACAGGAAACCUGAGUUUCAGAAGCUGCAGUAGAGGGUGGUCCUUUGUGACUGUCCCCAUCCUCCCUCAGUCACAUCCCGGCUGGCAUGGCACGGGCACCUCCCUGCUGGCAUGGCGUGGGCACCUCCCUGGGGAACAAGAAUGCCCCCCAAGGCCAAGGGCCUUUGGAUCGCGUCAUGUUUUAUAACAUUGUGUGUUUUAUCAUGACAUAAUUUAGAGAUACCCGUUUAAUCUUUCAAGACACGAAGGUAAGAAACUCACUGUCUUUGCUGAUCCCACUGUGGGGGUUCAGACUCUCUCAGCUACAGCAUGCUUUGCACCAGCUGUGGAUUUUUUUUCAGCCAGGCAUUCCUAACACGACAUCCUUAUUAACAGACUUUCAGAACUGGUGAGAGACACUCAUCCAGUUGCCACAAGAAAACAAAAAUAUUUCCCUGCGGAAGUGGAGUUGGCUUGAUGGCUUGGAACGUGAACCC
RNAcentral lists this long non-coding RNA (3101 nucleotides) under Sus scrofa (pig). RNAcentral's name for it is "lncRNA (ENSSSCG00060010927.1)". The record is from RNAcentral. Lineage: Eukaryota; Metazoa; Chordata; Mammalia; Artiodactyla; Suidae.